This 500-nucleotide ribosomal RNA is filed under the name uncultured Lactobacillus sp. RNAcentral describes it as "bacterial SSU rRNA". It matches the Rfam family "Bacterial small subunit ribosomal RNA", at positions 9 to 492 of the family's 1533-position model. The record is from RNAcentral. Lineage: Bacteria; Bacillati; Bacillota; Bacilli; Lactobacillales; Lactobacillaceae.
GAGUUUGAUCAUGGCUCAGGACGAACGCUGGCGGCAUGCCUAAUACAUGCAAGUCGAACGAGGUUUCCUUAAUGAUAGUUGGUGCUUGCAUCAACUUGACUUAAGAUCUAACCGAGUGGCGAACUGGUGAGUAACACGUGGGGAACCUGCCCUUAAGUAGGGGAUAACAUUUGGAAACAAAUGCUAAUACCGUAUAACAACAUAAACCACAUGGUUUAUGUUUGAAAGAUGGCUCUGCUAUCGCUUUUGGAUGGACCCGCGGCGUAUUAGCUAGUUGGUGAGAUAAUGGCUCACCAAGGCGAUGAUACGUAGCCGACCUGAGAGGGUAAUCGGCCACAUUGGAACUGAGACACGGUCCAGACUCCUACGGGAGGCAGCAGUGGGGAAUUUUGCGCAAUGGGGGAAACCCUGACGCAGCAACGCCGCGUGGAGGAUGAAGUCCCUUGGGACGUAAACUCCUUUCGACCGGGAAGAUGAUGACGGUACCGGUGGAAGAAGCA